UUUUUUUAUGUUAUUAAUUUUUAGUAAAAAAAAAUAUACAAGUAACAAUCAGCUAACAUUUUUUAUUUUGUAAAUUAUUUUUUAAUAAGUUGGUAGCUCAUUUUUAAUAAACCGUCUUUAAUAUAUUAAUAUAAAAGCAAAAAUACGAUAAGUAACUGACAGGAUUAUUAACUAACAGGAUUAGUAACUGACAGGAAAAGGUAACUAACAGGAAAAGGUAACUAACAGGAUAGGUAACAUUCUCACAUGGACAAAAUGAACACGACAUAUUAUAAAGAAAGAGAUCAAAACCAAACAGACAACGUAAAUAAAACAAACGAGUUGGAGAGUUCGAGUUUUUCUAAUGAAAACAACUAUGUUUUUAUUGAUGAAAAAUAUAAAGAAUAUUUUGAAUUGAUUUGUGACAUGUUUGAAGAAAAAGUUGAAUAUAUUUUAAAAAAACAUUUUAAAACUAAUGAUCCAUUAAAUAAAAAUAAAUUAUUAUGUUUAAAUGUUUGUGUUUUAUGGAGGAAGAGGUUUUUACAACUGCUUAGUAAAACAUUAAAUGAAUAUGACGAGUAUAAAAAAGCAAAUAACAUUAAUAAUGAACAAAGUAAUGAUAAAAGUAACGAUAAAAGUAAUGAUAAAAGUAACGAUAAAAGUAAUGAAAAAAGUGACGAAAAAUGUAACGAAAAAAAGUGACGAAAAAUGUAACGAAAAAAGUGAUGAAAAAUGUAACGAAAAAAGUGACGAAAAAAGUGACGAAAAAAGUAAUGAUAAUAAUAAGAACAUACAAGAAGAUAAAAAAGAUAUAAAUACAAGUGAUAGUGACAAAAAAAAUGAAGCAAAUAAUGACAAUAAUAAGGAUACAAUGAAUGAUAAAAUAAACACAGAUGAUAAAAAUGUUAAUAAUACUAC
Molecule: long non-coding RNA, 897 nt
Filed under: Piliocolobus tephrosceles (Ugandan red Colobus)
Lineage: Eukaryota; Metazoa; Chordata; Mammalia; Primates; Cercopithecidae
Description: lncRNA (ENSPTEG00000014678.1)
Source: RNAcentral